This 362-nucleotide ribosomal RNA is filed under the name Ammonia sp. 95. Its description in RNAcentral is "partial 28S ribosomal RNA". The record is from RNAcentral. Lineage: Eukaryota; Foraminifera; Rotaliida; Rotaliidae.
CGUAAUAAUAGAAACUAACCAGGAUUCCCUUAGUAACGGCGAGUGAACUGGGAUACCAACAAAAUACAUGUGCCUCGCGCGCAUGAUUUAGCCCGUCGAUACUAUCCUAGCAUAUUACCGGUCUCGGCCGGUAACCCAAUAUGCGGGAAUUGUAGCAUCGUAAUAAAAAUAAAAUAUAUACACGCACACACACCCACCGCGUACAUUCUUGUAAACACACAGCGUCUCCGCGUUGGAAAGCAAGUUUAUAUCCUCUUUGGAUAUGCCAUAGAGUGUGACAGCCACGUUUCACUCAUAACCGUACGCACACACACACGCCCCGUGCACUAAUAUAUAUUUCUAUAACCUGAGUCGAGUUAUUU